UACGUAGGGUGCAAGCGUUGUCCGGAAUUAUUGGGCGUAAAGAGCUCGUAGGCGGUUUGUCGCGUCUGCUGUGAAAACUCGGGGCUUAACCCCGAGCCUGCAGUGGAUACGGGCAGACUAGAGGUAGGUAGGGGAGAAUGGAAUUCCCGGUGUAGCGGUGAAAUGCGCAGAUAUCGGGAGGAACACCGGUGGCGAAGGCGGUUCGCUGGGCCUUACCUGACGCUGAGGAGCGAAAGCGUGGGGAGCGAACAGG
Molecule: ribosomal RNA, 253 nt
Filed under: uncultured bacterium
Lineage: Bacteria
Description: partial 16S ribosomal RNA
Rfam family: Bacterial small subunit ribosomal RNA
Source: RNAcentral